Molecule: ribosomal RNA, 247 nt
Filed under: uncultured bacterium
Lineage: Bacteria
Description: partial 16S ribosomal RNA
Rfam family: Bacterial small subunit ribosomal RNA
Source: RNAcentral
UACGUAGGGGGCAAGCGUUGUCCGGAAUCAUUGGGCGUAAAGAGCGUGUAGGCGGCUUGGUAAGUCCGCUGUGAAAGUCCAGGGCUCAACCCUGGAAUGCCGGUGGAAACUGUCAAGCUUGAGUCCGGAAGAGGCGAGUGGAAUUCCUGGUGUAGCGGUGAAAUGCGCAGAUAUCAGGAGGAACACCAAUGGCGAAGGCAGACUCGCUGGGACGGUACUGACGCUGAGACGCGAAGCGUGGGGAGCA